GACGAACGCUGGCGGCGUGCUUAACACAUGCAAGUCGAACGGAAAGGCCCUGCUGUUGUGGGGUGCUCGAGUGGCGAACGGGUGAGUAACACGUGAGUAACCUGCGCUUGACUUUGGGAUAACUGCAGGAAACUGGGGCUAAUACCGGAUAGGAGCGCCUGCUGCUUGGUGGGGGUUGGAAAGUUUCGGCGGGUGGGGAUGGACUCGCGGCUUAUCAGCUUGUUGGUGGGGUAGUGGCUUACCAAGGCUUUGACGGGUAGCCGGCCUGAGAGGGUGACCGGCCACAUUGGGACUGAGAUACGACCCAGACUCCUACGGGAGGCAGCAGUGGGGAAUAUUGCACAAUGGGCGGAGGCAUGAUGCAGCAACGCCGCGUGCGGGAUGACGGCCUUCGGGUUGUAAACCGCUUUCGCCUGUGACGAAGCGUGAGUGACGGUAAUGGGUAAAGAAGCACCGGCUAACUACGUG
RNAcentral lists this ribosomal RNA (468 nucleotides) under uncultured bacterium. RNAcentral's name for it is "partial 16S ribosomal RNA". It matches the Rfam family "Bacterial small subunit ribosomal RNA", at positions 28 to 507 of the family's 1533-position model. The record is from RNAcentral.